UACGUAGGGGGCAAGCGUUGUCCGGAUUUACUGGGCGUAAAGCGCGCGUAGGCGGGUUGGUAAGUCCGCUGUGAAAGCCCGGAGCUCAACUCCGGAGGGUCGGUGGAUACUGCCAGUCUUGAAGGUGCUAGGGGGAGAUGGAAUUACCGGUGUAGCGGUGAAAUGCGUAGAUAUCGGUAGGAACACCAGUGGCGAAGGCGGUCUCCUGGGGCAUUCUUGACGCUGAGGCGCGAAAGCCAGGGGAGCGAACGGG
This 253-nucleotide ribosomal RNA is filed under the name uncultured bacterium. Its description in RNAcentral is "partial 16S ribosomal RNA". It matches the Rfam family "Bacterial small subunit ribosomal RNA", at positions 524 to 776 of the family's 1533-position model. The record is from RNAcentral.